Long non-coding RNA from Ornithodoros turicata, 750 nucleotides. RefSeq lists it as uncharacterized. The transcript is spliced from 4 exons. Lineage: Eukaryota; Metazoa; Arthropoda; Arachnida; Ixodida; Argasidae. The record is from RefSeq and is a predicted model, not a curated record.
CAAGAAUGAAGUUCCCAACAAGCGCGAGCCGAAGCGUAACGACGUCUGCCUCAUCGCCAUCGACAUUCCCCAACCGCCGUUUCAAACAGGCGAGGCGCGUCGUCGUAGCGGUUCGGUAGGAUAUGACAUGUUACACGGAAGGGUCUUUGGAACCUCAGCAUCAUGCGUAUUUUGUACUGGAAUCUCGGAAGCAUCGAGGCAGUACUGGCCAGUACGUCGAACAACUACGUUGUGCAUAACAACGAUUGCCGUGGUGUGCGAGAGCUAGCGUUCCUUUGUUCUCCGGCUUUGCAGUUAAGAGUCUGGUGCGUAUCACUGACGAACUCAUGCGAACGACGGAACUGUGUGAGAUUGUGUGUGUACAGCUACAAAGUUAUCCACACACAACCAUGGAUAGCCUCACACAUGUGUAAAGUUACUGGUGUCUCUACAACACUGAAGAGCCAGGCAUAAACCGGAAGACGUCGCUUGGGUCUGCCAGUGAUUAGGCUGCUUCCGCAUAUAACCAUCUAUACUGCAUGAGAAACUGCGGGAUGACGGUUGCGAAGUGGCGUAGCAAUCACGUGAUUAUUAUUAUGACCAUUAUUGUCUUAUUAUGCGUCUUAUCCGUGUCACCCUAUAUUGUUAAUAAUUAGCCUAUUUAUGUUGUAAUAUCAUAUUUUGUACUAUUAGAAAGAGCGUUUCUUACAGUGCAUGUAACAUCACUGUACUUGGUUUGUGUUCAAUAAACAAGAGUUCUUUGGUACGAUG